UCGCGGCCUAUCAGCUUGUUGGUGGGGUAAUGGCCUACCAAGGCGUCGACGGGUAGCYGGCCUGAGAGGGCGACCGGCCACACUGGGACUGAGACACGGCCCAGACUCCUACGGGAGGCAGCAGUGGGGAAUAUUGCGCAAUGGACGAAAGUCUGACGCAGCAACGCCGCGUGAGGGAUGACGGCCUUCGGGUUGUAAACCUCUUUCAGCAGGGACGAAGCGAGAGUGACGGUACCUGCAGAAGAAGGACCGGCCAACUACGUGCCAGCAGCCGCGGUAAUACGUAGGGUCCGAGCGUUGUCCGGAAUUAUUGGGCGUAAAGGGCUCGUAGGCGGUUCGUCACGUCGGGAGUGAAAACUCGGGGCUUAACCCCGAGCCUGCUUCCGAUACGGGCAGACUAGAGGUAGGCAGGGGAGAGCGGAACUCCUGGUGUAGCGGUGGAAUGCGCAGAUAUCAGGAAGAACACCGGUGGCGAAGGCGGCUCUCUGGGCCUUACCUGACGCUGAGGAGCGAAAGCGUGGGUAGCGAACAGGAUUAGAUACCCUGGUAGUCCACGCCGUAAACGUUGGGCGCUAGGUGUGGGGGACAUUCCACGUCCUCCGUGCCGCAGCUAACGCAUUAAGCGCCCCGCCUGGGGAGUACGGCCGCAAGGCUAAAACUCAAAGGAAUUGACGGGGGCC
Molecule: ribosomal RNA, 680 nt
Filed under: bacterium 4c100809
Lineage: Bacteria
Description: bacterial SSU rRNA
Rfam family: Bacterial small subunit ribosomal RNA
Source: RNAcentral